AUGUUGGUUAAGUCCGCAACGAGCGCAACCCCUAUUGUUAGUUGCCAUCAUUCAGUUGGGCACUCUAGCGAGACUGCCGGUAAUAAACCGGAGGAAGGUGGGGAUGACGUCAAAUCAUCAUGCCCCUUAUGACCUGGGCUACACACGUGCUACAAUGGUUGGUACAACGAGUUGCGAGUCGGUGACGGCGAGCUAAUCUCUUAAAGCCAAUCUCAGUUCGGAUUGUAGGCUGCAACUCGCCUACAUGAAGUCGGAAUCGCUAGUAAUCGCGGAUCAGCACGCCGCGGUGAAUACGUUCCCGGGCCUU
RNAcentral lists this ribosomal RNA (307 nucleotides) under uncultured Streptococcus sp. RNAcentral's name for it is "bacterial SSU rRNA". It matches the Rfam family "Bacterial small subunit ribosomal RNA", at positions 1072 to 1382 of the family's 1533-position model. Lineage: Bacteria; Bacillati; Bacillota; Bacilli; Lactobacillales; Streptococcaceae. The record is from RNAcentral.